Molecule: ribosomal RNA, 564 nt
Filed under: uncultured fungus
Lineage: Eukaryota; Fungi
Description: eukaryotic LSU rRNA
Rfam family: 5.8S ribosomal RNA (bases 211-363)
Source: RNAcentral
AGUCGUAACAAGGUCUCCGUAGGUGAACCUGCGGAGGGAUCAUUACACAAAUAUGAAGGCGGGCUGGAACCUCUCGGGGUUACAGCCUUGCUGAAUUAUUCACCCUUGUCUUUUGCGUACUUCUUGUUUCCUUGGUGGGUUCGCCCACCACUAGGACAAACAUAAACCUUUUGUAAUCGCAAUCAGCGUCAGUAACAAAUUAAUAAUUACAACUUUCAACAACGGAUCUCUUGGUUCUGGCAUCGAUGAAGAACGCAGCGAAAUGCGAUAAGUAGUGUGAAUUGCAGAAUUCAGUGAAUCAUCGAAUCUUUGAACGCACAUUGCGCCCUUUGGUAUUCCAAGGGCAUGCCUGUUCGAGCGUCAUUUGUACCCUCAAGCUUUGCUUGGUGUUGGGCGUCUUGUCUCUAGCUUUGCUGGAGACUCGCCUUAAAGUAAUUGGCAGCCGGCCUACUGGUUUCGGAGCGCAGCACAAGUCGCACUCUCUAUCAGCAAAGGUCUAGCAUCCAUUAAGCCUUUUUUUCAACUUUUGACCUCGGAUCAGGUAGGGAUACCCGCUGAACUUAA